CAGGCCUUGACAUCCAGCGAACUUGGCAGAGAUGCCUUGGUGCCUUCGGGAACGCUGAGACAGGUGCUGCAUGGCUGUCGUCAGCUCGUGUUGUGAAAUGUUGGGUUAAGUCCCGCAACGAGCGCAACCCUUAUCCUUUGUUGCCAGCACGUCAUGGUGGGAACUCAAAGGAGACUGCCGGUGAUAAACCGGAGGAAGGUGGGGAUGACGUCAAGUCAUCAUGGCCCUUACGAGUAGGGCUACACACGUGCUACAAUGGCGCAUACAAAGAGAAGCGACCUCGCGAGAGCAAGCGGACCUCACAAGGUGCGUCGUAGUCCGGAUCGGAGUCUGCAACUCGACUCCGUGAAGUCGGAAUCGCUAGUAAUCGUGGAUCAGAAUGCCACGGUGAAUACGUUCCC
Molecule: ribosomal RNA, 401 nt
Filed under: uncultured bacterium
Lineage: Bacteria
Description: bacterial SSU rRNA
Rfam family: Bacterial small subunit ribosomal RNA
Source: RNAcentral